UUAGAUUAUAACAAAAUAAUUAUAUAUAUGAACAUGGAAAGCCAAGGCAGGCAAGCAACCAAGGGGCACCAAGGAAACAUCCAAGCCAUGUGAAGUGGUGCAGCUUUUGUCGGGUCAACCACUUCCAACUCCGACCAACUUGUGGGGUUUGUUGUGUUCCAAUUCUUAAUUUGCCGUCUUUGAACAAAUCAAAAUCCCUAUAUGAGUGGCUAUGGAUUCUCCGGUUGGCCACUGCGCCUUUCUCUUCUGCAUGGCCUCUCUUUGUACGGAGUUACGGACCAUUUUCUCUUAGACCGUGAAACAUCUUUUAUCAUCACAGACACACCAUAUGCUGCUAUAGCUUAUACAUAUUUCCUAGUGACAGAACUGUGGGAAAAAAGAUGGAUUCCCUUAGUCACACCAUCCGCUGAUCUUAACACAGAU
Molecule: long non-coding RNA, 423 nt
Filed under: Gossypium raimondii (Peruvian cotton)
Lineage: Eukaryota; Viridiplantae; Streptophyta; Magnoliopsida; Malvales; Malvaceae
Description: long non-coding RNA (GRAI_LNC008100)
Source: RNAcentral